This 4260-nucleotide long non-coding RNA is filed under the name Homo sapiens (human). Its description in RNAcentral is "HSALNT0381925". The record is from RNAcentral. Lineage: Eukaryota; Metazoa; Chordata; Mammalia; Primates; Hominidae.
CCCUGACUGGAGGAAACCUGCAGGCUCUCGUCCGCCGAGCUCAGAAGUGCCAGGCGCUGCCAACGGCCCCGGAGAUCCUCGCAUCCCUACAGAAACACGAGUUAUUUUUCUCCUUACCAUAAACAAAAACAGCAUUGGCAAUAAGGGCUGAAGGCAUUAUAGUGGCCUAUGAGCAGAAUUUGCCAUGCCUUCCAUGGAGCAUUCUUUUUCCAAGUCAGGUCAAUCCAGCCUGCAGCUGUAAGUCAAUGAAGUUCCUCAGAUAAAGUGCAUGCAAAAAUGUUAUUUUUCAAGCACCAGUAAAGACACUUGUUUUAAUCUUAUACCCCUUGCACGUACUAUAGAGGAAGAGGGUGACCCUUAGUGUUGAAUAGAUCUGGGUGGGAUUUCCAUAUCUAUGGACAAGCUGUGGCUCUGGGCCAGUUUCUACAUCUGUACAAUGGAGUCAAAUCUUUUCCUUGCAGGGCUGGUGUGAUGGGAACAUGCCAGCUUCUUCACCAAGCCUGGUCCUAUGAAGGGGUGCCUCAGUACAUACUAGUUUCUCUUUCCUCUUAUUCCCCUCCUGCCCACCUGACAAAAUCCUUCUAUUUUGCCCACGUUACAAAACUCUUCUAUUUUGCCCACCUGGCAAAAUCCUUCUAUUUUGCCAUUAACCUGCUCAAGAAAGGACUUUGUCCCCAUCUGCAUUUUCUCUGCAAGAAUGUGCCCGCCUCUAAGAAUGGAGAGUAAACCCAUGGUAUACAAGGGGCUGGGGAGGCUAAUUCACAAGAGUUCAGAAAUUCCAACAGAGCUGCACAAGGAUGAUGUCAGAAAUAAGAGUGAUAACUCAGAAACCAGUGACAGUCUAUCAGCCCGGUUUCACAAAACUGGCAGCCCACUGGCCUCUGCCUCCUCUGCCUCCCACUCUCCUUGCCUUUCCCUGAAAAGCAAAUCUAAUGAUUGGCAAAAACAAAACCAAGGCUGGAGGAGAGGGGGUGGCUAGUCUGUGUUAUUUUGCGAAGCCAUUCAUCUCUGCCAGAUUUAGGUUUACCAGGAAAGUAGGUUGAAAUAGACGUGUGUCUGCUUUGUUCUAACCCCAUUCUUCUCUGGAUAGUGGUACCAAUCGGUAUCCUGGGCUUAUAAUGACAGAAAUAUGUGUGCCAGGCAUCACAGUGAACAUUUCACACAGAUGAGCAUGUUAUAUUUACACAAGCUUCUGAAGUACAUGCCAUUAUUAUCAUUCCCAUUCUUCAGAUGAAGAAACUAAGGCAGAGAGCUGUGGAGUAGCUUGUCUGUGGCCUCAUAACUGGAGUGUGGGAGAACAUCAGGAUUUGAACUCAGGCUGUCUGGCCACCUCCACCCCACCUGCUACCAACCUUCUGUGCCCUCUCAGUUCUCCCCACCCAUCAUGUUCUUUGCAGUCAGGACCCCAGCUUUAGGUGCCCAAAGCUUUCUGUGGUCCUGGUCACUUCACUUGGGCUAAGGGGCCAAUUAACUUACUGAGCCAUCCCAUGCCAAUGGGGAAGGGCUGGAGGAAACCCCACCACCAUCCCACACAUAGUCUGGACAGCCCUCACUCCUACCCCAGGAGCACAGAUCCACAUCCAGAGCAAAUGCCAUCUCAUCCUGGACAUCUUCCUUGAUUUUGCCCCUGAGGUCUAUACCACUUUAUACCUCUCUUGGGACCUUUGCCUCUUUCCAAAAAUUACUCGUGUCUGUACAAGAUUUCAUAGUCUCCAAAGGCCUUUCCCAUCCACCUAGUCCAGCUUCUUCCCAGGCCUUUUAACCUCCUUCUAUCACUGGGAUGGCAUUCAGCAUGGUAAUUCAGCACCUGAGCUCUGGAAUCCAGCCUGCAGCAUCCUAACUUCACCACUUGCUAGCUGUGUGCCGCUGGGCAAGGUACUUGCUCAACUUCUCAACAUCUCGGUUUCCCUAUCUGUGAAACUGGGAUAAUAAUAAUGUCACCCUUAUCUGGUUGGAGGGUUGAAUGAGAUAAGCAUACAAGCAUACACAGCACCCAAACUCAGUAAGUGCUGGCUGCUGUUAUCAUCUCACUAAAUCUUCUCCCAAAACUCCUGUGGGAUUAAACCUUCCCACCACCCUCCCACACACACUCUGGUUCUUGUCAUCAGUAAAAAUGCAUCUGAACCAGAUGACCUUUAAGCUUUCUUCCAGCUCCAUCAACCUAUGAUUCUACCAUGAAUCACAGUUAUUAUGGACACAUUUUAACUCUUUAUGCCAUAGCAAUCUCCUGAAGGCCCAGCCCUUAACAUAGGGCCUUGUAUACAGUUGGCUGUCCUGCCAGGGUGAUGUUAGCACCUAACAAUAGUCCUUGCCUCAUCCACGCACUGGGAUGAACAAAUGAGGAAAUUCCUAUAUAGCAUUUAGUCCAGUGCCUGGCACUGAGUAAGCCCCUAAUAAGUCAUGGUUUCUAUUAUUAUCCCAUCUGAUACUAAUAAGAUUCCCAAACAUGGUCAUUAAAAGCAUAGGAGCCACACUGGGUGUGGACUCAUCCUAGUGCUGAUCCUGUGAGACCUUGAGCAAGUUAAUUCACCACCCCAUGCCUCAAUUUCCUCCUCUGUAAUAUGGAUGUGAUUAUGAGUAACUUCCUAAUAAGGUUGUUGUGAGUUAAUAGAAGGGCACUUAGAAUUGUGCCUGGCAUCUGCUUGGUAUAUGUAAGUGCUUUUUGUCAUCAUUUACAGAUGUCAGCGGCACCAAGGGACAUCCCCAAGCAGUAGUGGAGUUGGGAUCCAAACCUAAGCUUGACUGAUUCCAGAGCCUCAGUGCUAAUAUUAGGAGAUAUUGCUGCCCUGUGUGAUCCCAUGCAUUUCAGCAGGAGCCUCCUUGUCCACUCCUUUCAGUUGUCUUCCCUGGCAAAGGAGUUUUUAUAAUGGUGAUUUCAGGAUGGGAGGAGGGUGAGUCAGCACCAGAGAGACCUAAGGAUGCCCUCAAAUCAUACCACAGGAGAAGCAGCCUUCUUCUCACCUGUGUCUGGUCGUAUCACUUUAGCAUUCCAUCAGGACCUGGCCCAGAAGCCCAGAAACAUGGCAACACCCACACCUGCCAUCUAGCCUGGAAGCUGCAGCGAAACCCUCAGCACUCACGCUGAUGUCACAUUUGAGGCUAGUCCCAGCUCUUCCAUGGAGACAGGCCCUGGCCUUGAGGCCAUUUCCCAUUUCUGAGGCAUGAUUCACUUAGCAGACAAGACCAGACAGACUCGUUCAUGUUCAUACCUACCGGAGGAAGGAGAGGUGGGUGGUGGAUCCAGGGGGAGAAGAAAAACAAACGGGGUUAGGGCUGGCAGGACUCUCGCUGCUGGGCUGCAGGGGCGGAGCAGGCAGGCAGAGCGCCUGACUUAGGAGCCGUGCCCAGCAUGGCCACCCACUCACCCAUUUAUCUUCCUUGCAGUCAAAUGUAUUGAUUUAAACAGGAAUCCGUCUGUGCUUCUAAAGCCCCAGAAACGCACUUACAUCUCACGUGUAGCACAAUGAUUUUCAAAGAGGUUUCCCACAAAUAAUUUUAAUUUGGGUUACUUUUUAAAUAUUUGAUUCUCUUAUUAACAAAGCAACACAUGCUUAUGAGGAAUGCUGGGACAACUUUUCAAAUGUCAAUUUUAAAUAUAUACAGAAUUAUACCACCAGCAAUAAGAUUUUCAGUAAAUUUCCCACUAGUCUGUUUUCUGAGUCCACAGACAUAUAUAGUUCAUGAAACAAAAUUGGAGCCAUACCACACAAAGAGUUCCAUAUCUUUUUUUCUUUUCAUUUAACAUAAAGUCAUUGGCAUUUUUCAAUGUUACCAAAUAUUCUGCUACAGCAAUUCAUAAUGGCUGCAUUUAUCAGAAUAGAUGUGUUAUAAUUUCGGUGGCCAUGCCCUGAUUGUUGGACUUUCAAGAUGUUUACGAAAAUAUUACUAUUAAAAUAACAGUGCCACGAACACCUCUUUACUUGUAUUUUUGUCUGUAUAUCUGAUUAUGUGCCAAUAAUAAAUUUCUAGUAAUGGAAUUACUAGCUCACAGGAUUUGAAUAUUUCUGAAUAUAUCUAGCCAAAUUACUUUCCAGAAAAUACAUCCAGUUUACACUCCCCCGGCAAUGUGUUCGAAUGUUCUCACUCUGUUUUGAGCUUGUGAGCCAGUGAGUUAGGUAACAAGGUCUCAUGUUACAGACGAAGAAAACUGGGCACAAAAAGAUUAAGUAGCCAGCUCCAGUUCGUACAACUGAGAUCCAAGCCCUGGCCUCCUGGAGUUAGUGUCAGGGGCCUUCCAGACAAGGAGAGCUCUGAAGAGGU